RNAcentral lists this ribosomal RNA (264 nucleotides) under uncultured bacterium. RNAcentral describes it as "partial 16S ribosomal RNA". It matches the Rfam family "Bacterial small subunit ribosomal RNA", at positions 29 to 289 of the family's 1533-position model. The record is from RNAcentral.
AUUAACGCUAGCGGCAGGCAUAAGUACAUGCAAGUUGAACGGCAGCACAGGUAGCAAUACCGGGUGGCGAGUGGCGCACGGGUGCGUAACACGUAUGCAACCUACCCUAUACAGGCGAAUAACCUUUAGAAAUGAGGGCUAAUACGCCGUGGUAUUAUCUUGGGGCAUCUUGAGAUAAUUAAAGAUUUAUCGGUAUAGGAUGGGCAUGCGUCCCAUUAGUUAGUUGGUAGGGUAACGGCCUACCAAGGCGAUGAUGGGUAGGGG